CUUCUUGAGGUUGUUGAGUUUGUUCUAUAGGUGGUGCUUGAGGAAGAAUCUCAUUGUUGUCUUGGUCUGAAACAAUGUCAGGAAUAGGAGCCUGAACAUUGUCAUCUAUUGCCAGAACUGUGUCUUGAACAACAAUAGGUACAGAGACCUGAUUGCUGUCAAUAACAGAUUCUUCUUCAAAGACAACGUUCCUUAUGUUUCCUUCCCCUCCAAACUCAAUAUCCUCAAGGAAUCUCGCAUUUCCCGUUUCAAAGAAGGAUCUUGAUGUGGGAUAGUAAAACUUAUAGCCCCGAGAGCGUUCA
This 302-nucleotide long non-coding RNA is filed under the name Olea europaea (common olive). RNAcentral's name for it is "long non-coding RNA (OEUR_LNC006866)". Lineage: Eukaryota; Viridiplantae; Streptophyta; Magnoliopsida; Lamiales; Oleaceae. The record is from RNAcentral.